AUGUGAUGUGUGUGUGUGUCUCUGCGCCGCUGGCUCGUGUCUCAGUCAGACCGAUCUGUGUGAGGAUGUGCUGUGGCUCUCUGUGUGCGCUCUGCUCGGAUCAUGCGGGACACCGACCAGAGGAGCUGCUGCCCCUCACAAACGUGUGGAAUAAGAGCGCUUUCCAGGUGAAGCACUGACAGCAGAAACAGAAACAAAUGCACCGGCAACGUUACUUCUCACGCGCUGGAUUACCGUGUAACGUCUCAGUGACCGCGGAGUAACGCUGACGUUACUUCAUUACAGCUGAACUGGGUCCACCCUGACUUCACAUUGCACUUCCUAGAGAAAGGAAAAGCCCUGAUGUGCUUGUCACCCGAGCUGACGGCUGGGGCUGCGAGAUGGAGGCCGAAUGUCUUCACUCGGUCCCUCUUCAGACACUCAAAGGCUGCUCUGUUUCAGCCUGAUGACGAGCCGAUUGGAUAUAAUCUUAAGCGGGGGACUCAGGAGAUGGGGAGGCAUAGGGAAACCCUACAGUAGGCUUUGCAGGGAAGGAAUGUCUUUCUCCAGAUGUAGGAAACGAGCAUUGGAGGGUUCCUGCUGCCAGGCAGCCCGCUCCUCCUGUUAUAACAUGGGACCAAAUUCAAACCAUGUGUCCUCACACCCGGUUAGCUGCUUUUGCCCACCUCUAGCGUUAGCAGUCUGGACGGAUCCAUUUCACUGCCCCACUCCAGUGCAACAUUCUCAUUCUCCCAGCCCCAAAUGAGCCUCUCUGUGGGACUCCUGGCUUAAUAGGCUGGAACUUUCCCAUGUCCGGUCUCCUAAGGUGGCUGUUAUCCUCCAAGGGCCCCUGUGCGAGUUUCAAGCUCAAGCUCAUGUUAUGGGGUGAGUACAGUAGUCCUCCUCAAGGGUCAAAGGUCACUUCAUUUUCAGAUCUCUGCUUAAACAUGUGUUAAAUAUGUGAAAGGACUGGAUGUGUUUUUUGGAAUAUCUUUUUGUUUAAAUAUGCAGGACUGAUGUGCCAUUUGGUUGGGAGGGGGAAAUAUUUGCUGCAAUGCUGAUCUGUCAUCGCUUAAAAUGUGUAUAUUUAUGUAUUAUUUAAGAGAAAAAAGGGAGGGAAGAAGCUGGGGGACUUAGCUUGCUCAGAUGACCAUUCUGAGACCUGUUUAAUAGACAGCUUUCAAUCUCCGCAGAAUAUGGCUAAGCACCUUGGACAGCGUAAAGACCUGCCCUUGAUAGCAGAGCCAUAUGUGGGCAGGGUUCCUCAAAUCUGGCCCUGCAGAGUUUAGCUCCAGUCCUAACCAAACACAAUCAAGGUCUUUAGAGUUAGAGAGAAAAAUACAGGUAUGUAACAGGUACAACCUGCUAUAAAGGAAGGACUAGACAGAACUUCAACAGGAAAGACUAGUACAAUAAGAACAUGUCAAGAAGUUUUCUCACUCUUACUGCUGUAGAUGAACUGGGCUUUUCUAUGACUCAGUGCUGCAAAGGUCCAGCAGUCUCAUUACCUUGUGUUGAAUGGACGGACAAGAGUGGACAGCAUGUUGAACUUGGUUCAUGAAAGCAAAUUAUGUUUUUGUUCCUGUUUAACGCAAGGUUGUGUUAGCUACUUGCAUACUUUAUGAUAGCUUUUUGUGUUUCAAGGGAGGGCAAUGGGUGGUUUGAGAGCCCAGGCCCUUUCUGGUGCAAGGUCAAAACAGGUCACCGCUAAUGCUCAAAGCAGUUUUUUGACUCCAAAAACACACAUGCAUACAAUUCAAUCUAGUAUCUAAUAUCACAAGGACAAUAGUUUUGUCCCCAAAGUUAAAAAAAAGUUUCUUUUAUCUCAAAUAACAUUUCAUAGUGAUGAAUGUGAGGGAUUAGCAUUAGCAAAAGUUAAUUCCAACCACAGGAGGAACACUGAGAGGUUACUGCCUACUGCUGCUCCUAGAUCUCUCCAUGCAUCGAAAUCGUUAAAUUACGACAGAGCCAAAAAUAAAACCCAUUGAAUUAGGGUGAAAGCAGUGAGUGAUUAGUAUGUGCGAAGUCUUUGUGUAAAUGCCAGUCAUCUGUCCUGGCACAGUUUCUCUGAGAGACAUGCUGCUGCAUUGAAAUGUUUAAAACCAGUCUGACCUGUGGCCUCUCUUUCUCCAUUUCACUUCCUCUUGUCUUCAGCAGAACAUGUGGAGUUGUUGCAGUGAUGCACGUGUUGUUAUUGGAGUCGGUGUGCUUGUGAUCAUGUCUUUCUUCCUGACAGGAUCCACGUCAUUGUGUCCGCUCAGCACGAUGAGCGCCGUCUCUGCUCUCGUUAGCAGAUCAGGCGUCUUGUUCACACACAGAUGUGUCUCAUAGCUUUACGUUGAGUGUGUGUGUGUUGUUGGGAGGCUUUUAAUGGAGACACUCUGAGUAAAUGUGCAGGGAUUGUGUGUGAAGACAGGGCUGCUUUUAUCUGGCAUAAAGGGAGGGAGAAGCUGUGGCGUACCGGUGCUGUGUUUGAUCAUGCCUAACCCCCUCCGCAUCCCAGCGCUCCUCUGAUCCCUCAGCUCGGCAUUCCUCUCGUAACAGUCAGCCUCCUUUACCGCGGUGAGAGAUGUGGUAUGUUUCUGCAUGGAUUACUGUACUCAUUUCUGUAUGGGAAAGACAGAAACAGCCAGGCCAUUGUACAUGGAGAGCGCUUCUGCCCUAAAGGCUUUUCCUUACCUGUCACAAAAAUCCCCAGGUGCCGGGUGGAUGCAUAUAAAGUGAUAUCAGCUCUUUUCCAGACGAGAGGUGCCUACCUAGGUAACAUUUUAUGCCCGGAGGCCUUUUCGAACAGUAGGCAGCAAAAUGAUGCUACAUUAGAAGUAACAUGUCUUUACCAUGAUACCUUUUUUUUUAUAUGGUAUGGUGCCAUAAUUACAUUGUGUGAUGUCUUUAAAGUGGUAUGUCUAGUCAUCUGACACAAUCACUGUACCAUGGUCCCACCACAGUAUUUUUGGUGGUUUGAUUGCACAACCAC
Molecule: long non-coding RNA, 2956 nt
Organism: Cyprinus carpio carpio
Lineage: Eukaryota; Metazoa; Chordata; Actinopteri; Cypriniformes; Cyprinidae
Source: Ensembl